RNAcentral lists this ribosomal RNA (497 nucleotides) under uncultured bacterium. Its description in RNAcentral is "partial 16S ribosomal RNA". It matches the Rfam family "Bacterial small subunit ribosomal RNA", at positions 28 to 507 of the family's 1533-position model. The record is from RNAcentral.
GAUGAACGCUGGCGGCGUGCCUAAUACAUGCAAGUCGAGCGAACAGAUGAGGAGCUUGCUCCUCUGACGUUAGCGGCGGACGGGUGAGUAACACGUGGAUAACCUACCUAUAAGACUGGGAUAACUUCGGGAAACCGGAGCUAAUACCGGAUAAUAUAUUGAACCGCAUGGCUCAAUAGUGAAAGACGGUUUUGCUGUCACUUAUAGAUGGAUCCGCGCCGCAUUAGCUAGUUGGUAAGGUAACGGCAUACCAAGGCAACGAUGCGUAGCCGACCUGAGAGGGAGAUCGGCCACACUGGAACUGAGACACGGUCCAGACUCCUACGGGAGGCAGCAGUAGGGAAUCUUCCGCAAUGGGCGAAAGCCUGACGGAGCAACGCCGCGUGAGUGAUGAAGGUCUUCGGAUCGUAAAACUCUGUUAUUAGGGAAGAACAAAUGUGUAAGUAACUAUGCACGUCUUGACGGUACCUAAUCAGAAAGCCACGGCUAACUACGUG